This 624-nucleotide unclassified non-coding RNA is filed under the name Melitaea cinxia (Glanville fritillary). RNAcentral describes it as "misc RNA ENSMCXG00005006431.1". Lineage: Eukaryota; Metazoa; Arthropoda; Insecta; Lepidoptera; Nymphalidae. The record is from RNAcentral.
AGGUAUCGUGUGCGAUGGCAGUCAGUCCACCUCACCGCGUCGGGCUGCGCGCGCGCCUCGCUCGAACAUAAAUACAAUAAAAUAUGGAAAUGGCGAGUCAGUCCGUGACAGGUGCGCGGCCGCGGCGUUCGUGCACGUGUACUGUUAGUGAGUGCGCUAGCGCUGCCGCUUUCUCUGCAACCCUUGGCACCGAUGUUCUUAUGGAAGAAUAAAUAUAUGGGCAAUAUAUUGAAAAACAAAAAAUUAUUUUUCGUUUUGGUGUUGAUUUUCAUCAAGUUUGUAAGUAUGCAUAGAAAAUGAACGAAAGCACGUAUUAUAGGCGAAUUUUAUUUAUUCGUUAAGAUUCAUACAAAAUGAUAAACUAAUUUUUGCUUUAUUUUUAAUUGUAUUAAUAAAAUUUAGGUUAAAAUUUUUAUUUUUAUUUUUACUCAUUGAUUUUUUAAGUUUGUUUUGUUGUACUAACCCAAUAUGGACUUUAGUCUGAAAUAAAGAAUUAUUAUUAUUAUAAAAAAUUAAAGUGUAAACUUUUUAUUGAGUAAACCGAUUUUGAUGAUUUUUAUUAAUCGAAAGCUGGUGCUUAUCAAAUGGUCCCAUUUGGAUUUGAGUUGAGUUACCUCUAAAAAU